AGAGAUCGAGACAGAUCCCACAUCAUAUUUUGCCUUCGUAGAGGUCGGACGUACGAGCUACAGAACCCAACCGAGAUGUCUGCCAAAGGAGGACACCAGAAGAAGUGCCCAGAUCCAUGUCCAGAUCCAUGCCCACCACCACAGAAAUGCCAAGAUCCUUGCAAGCCUGAGCCAAAAUGCCCGGAACCGGUUCAGAAAUGCCCUCCUCCAGAUCCCUGCAAGCCUACCCCACAAUGUCAACAACAAAAGUGAAGACGGCAAACGGCUAGCGUAAAAACAAUGAAAUUGUUUUGCAAAUUAUGUUAAUUACCUGCUUGAUUAUCACUAUUCUGUAAAAUAUUGUAAACGACGCGUGAUCACUGCAAAAAACAACCUGCUCAGCUAAGCACGGUUUGUCAAAUGCCUGACGCAGUCCUAUCUAAAAUGAUUAAAUUUAUCUUCUGAGAAAGCA
This is a long non-coding RNA of Spea bombifrons (plains spadefoot toad), 451 nucleotides long. RefSeq lists it as uncharacterized. The transcript is spliced from 3 exons. Lineage: Eukaryota; Metazoa; Chordata; Amphibia; Anura; Pelobatidae. The record is from RefSeq and is a predicted model, not a curated record.